ACUGGCUUCGACAGUACAUAAACAAAAGUUGGAACGAUACAGAGAAGAUUAGCAUGGCCCAUGCGCAUGGCUGACACUAAAAAUCGGGAAACGUUCCACAUUUUU
Small nuclear RNA from Cherax quadricarinatus, 105 nucleotides. NCBI's taxonomy places the organism in Eukaryota, Metazoa, Arthropoda, Malacostraca, Decapoda, Parastacidae. The record is from RefSeq and is a predicted model, not a curated record.